CCUACGGGAGGCAGCAGUGAGGAAUAUUGCGCAAUGGGCGAAAGCCUGACGCAGCGACGCCGCGUGGAGGAUGAAGGUCUUCGGAUUGUAAACUUCUGUUAAGUGGGAAGAAAGCCAAGGCUUUAAUACAGUUUUGGUAUGACGGUACCAUUAGAGAAAGCACCGGCUAAACUCGUGCCAGCAGCCGCGGUAAUACGAGUGGUGCGAGCGUUAUUCGGAAUUAUUGGGCGUAUAGGGUGCGCAGGCGGUGUACUAAGUCAAUUGUUAAAUCCCCCGGCUAACCGGGGAAAUGCGGUAGAUACUGGUAUGCUAGAGGUUGGAAGAGAGAAGUGGAAUUCUUGGAGUAGCGGUAAAAUGCGUAGAUCUCAAGAGGAACACCAAUGGCGAAGGCAGCUUCUUGGUCCACACCUGACGCUCAUGCACGAAAGCGUGGGGAGCAAACAGGAUUAGAUACCCUGGUAGUCCACGCUGUAAACGAUGAUCACUAGACGUUAGUCUCGCUCUGCGAAGAUUAGUGUCGUAGCUAACGCGAUAAGUGAUCCGCCUGGGAAGUCGGUCGCAAAGNUUAAAACUNAAAAUGAAUUGACCGGNNGAGAGNGCGAGGACGACGACGAGGGAGGAGG
RNAcentral lists this ribosomal RNA (623 nucleotides) under uncultured bacterium. RNAcentral's name for it is "bacterial SSU rRNA". It matches the Rfam family "Bacterial small subunit ribosomal RNA", at positions 338 to 951 of the family's 1533-position model. The record is from RNAcentral.